UUUUAAGACGCCUGAGGGUUAAAAUUGGGAUUUUGUAGUAGGAUUGAAUGCCGCCUCUUCAAUUUCAUUCUUUAUGGCAAAAUUGAAUGGAUCUGGAUGAGUGCGAUGGAAUACGUUUCGUAAAUUGAUGAUGAAUUAAAGAUUUAAUUAAGUUGAAACCUCCCCUUGAAUCCUAUAAUACAUGAGAUAAAGAAAGAAGAGCAUCCCCUCAAGCAAGCAAGACAUCAUGCCAGAAGACAAUCGAUCUAGGGUUUGGAUACCAGAGUCUUAGUUGAAGGCUGCAACCGAUUCGUCUCAUCAUACAAAACAAAGGUUGUAUCACCUCUUACUGAUGUUGUAAAGAGCGAUGGGAGAGAGAACUACAAAGAGGGAGAGAAUUGAAGACACACUAGAAGCACCGCCGCCGCCGACCUCACUCGCACGUUAAUUCCGGUUUCACCCACCAAUUUGUAGUGUAUUAUUUGCAACGGAAUUCGGAAGGACCGCGGGAAGCCGUUCUGGUUUCAUGUCGUAACGCAAAUCGAUGCGGGGAACUCGCUGAGUUUGGUUUGCAGGUAUUUUUGUUACCAACUUCUAGGAAAUAAGCAAUGAGAAUGCCCCUAGAUGAGUGAUUGUGAAAUGAUGAGAUCAGCUAUGGAGAUAUGGGCUGCUCUUCUAAUGGCCUCAUCAAGGAUUUGAGAAAAUGUCAUCUCUAAAUGGGUAUGCCACUUCUGAAAUAAUGAUAUACUUAUAUGUGUACUGGAUUGAACAACUAUGCUAUUGUUUAUAAGAGGACAAGUCAGCCUACAAGCCCUUUAACAAAGGGGCAGUGAUCUGCAGAAGAGGUAUGCCAUAAAAUUUGUGCUGUUACAUACCUUGUAGCAUAAUUUCACUAUAGAAAAAGGUUUAAAUAAAGCCCCAAUGCAUAUGAAGAAUGUCCACUGGCUUAUGCUUUUUUAUAUAGACUUGAUUAGACUUGCAUUAUUAUUGUAAAAAUUGUUGUACUUGUAGGGAAUUUUGAAGUAUGUCAAGUCGGUUAUGUGGGUGGGUUGUUGGGUGAUAUAACUGAAAGCUUGGAUGCAAAAAAGGCUUUGACAGGAGCACUAAAAAUUCAUAAAAAGUAUCUGAAAAAGGCAGAGUAUUACAUCUUUAAUAAUUGUUCUUUCAUACAUCUUAUAAGUGGGAAAAUGGGCUGGUUGGGCCGAUGGAUUUUGUGCGGGCCGAAACAGGCCUGGUUACGUUGAUCCAAGACAGUUGUUCAACAUAUUUAUCUUUUUAAUAAAUAAUUAGUUUAAGAUAUGAUCACAUAUAUUCCCUAAACUAAAUUUUCGAAUGAAACAAUUGAAAGAGAUUUUAGCAUUAAAAGUGCAAGUUGGACGGUUGUUGACCCGUUUGAUCAUUUGAUCCAUUUCUUUUAAAACUAUUUUAUAUGAAUUUUACCUGUUACAAAUACAACAUAAUCUCUAAUAAAUGUGGUAAAGGGGCACACUUCUUUUUUUGGAUUUUAUGCAAGAAAUUGAGAGAAUAUGAUGAAUGAUCUGAAGUGGUCAAGGGUGCUGGUCUAAAGAAUUUAAAGACUAUAAUUCAGGAAGUCAAAGUUGCUUUGAAGUUUAUAAUUCUAUUUGGAUUUAAAGUUGAGGUGAUGUUAGAUUGAAAGUUGGUGUUAAAUGGGUUCUGGUGGUGUCAUUGCUACAAAAAAGAUUAGGUUUAAGACUAUUGCCUUGAAGCCCACUAAUUGGGCUUGGCGUGUUAUGGCUGCAACUAUAGGAAUGGAUAUGCAGAUUGAAGAUGAGGCUGCUACUUGCUGUUAUUUCUGUUUUGUUUUGAGUAUUAUGUUUACGUUUUUCAUUAAAAUCGAGUUGUGAAUAUCCCAAUUAGCAUAUCUUUUUGUAUUGCCAUACCGAAUGUAUACUGUAA
Helianthus annuus (common sunflower) is the source of this 1896-nucleotide long non-coding RNA. RefSeq lists it as uncharacterized. The transcript has 3 exons. The record is from RefSeq and is a predicted model, not a curated record. Lineage: Eukaryota; Viridiplantae; Streptophyta; Magnoliopsida; Asterales; Asteraceae.